RNAcentral lists this ribosomal RNA (841 nucleotides) under uncultured bacterium. Its description in RNAcentral is "bacterial SSU rRNA". It matches the Rfam family "Bacterial small subunit ribosomal RNA", at positions 60 to 923 of the family's 1533-position model. The record is from RNAcentral.
AGUCGACGAUUAAGCACCUUCGGGUGUGUAUAGAGUGGCGAACGGGUGAGUAACACGUGACCAACCUGCCUCUUACAUUGGGACAACCAAAAGAAAUUCUGGCUAAUACCAAAUACUCCGCACAUAUCACAUGAUGUAUGCGGGAAAGCUUUUGCGGUAAGAGAUGGGGUCGCGGCCCAUUAGGUAGACGGCGGGGUAGAAGCCCACCGUGCCGAUGAUGGGUAGCCGGGUUGAGAGACCGACCGGCCACAUUGGGACUGAGAUACGGCCCAGACUCCUACGGGAGGCAGCAGUGGGGAAUAUUGCGCAAUGGGGGAAACCCUGACGCAGCAACGCCGCGUGCGGGAUGAAGGCCUUCGGGUUGUGAACCGCUUUCAGCAGGGAAGACAUCGACGGUACCUGCAGAAGAAGCCCCGGCUAACUACGUGCCAGCAGCCGCGGUAAUACGUAGGGGGCGAGCGUUAUCCGGAUUCAUUGGGCGUAAAGCGCGCGCAGGCGGUUGCUCAAGCGGAACCUCUAAUCUCGGGGCUUAACCUCGAGCCGGGUUCCGAACUGGACGACUCGAGUGCGGUAGAGGCAGAUGGAAUUCCCGGUGUAGCGGUGGAAUGCGCAGAUAUCGGGAAGAACACCAACGGCGAAGGCAGUCUGCUGGGCCGUCACUGACGCUGAGGCGCGAAAGCUGGGGGAGCGAACAGGAUUAGAUACCCUGGUAGUCCCAGCCGUAAACGAUGAGCGCUGGGUGUGGGAGAUUACAUCUUCCGUGCCGAAGCUAACGCAUUAAGCGCUCCGCCUGGGGAGUACGGCCGCAAGGCUAAAACUCAAAGGAAUUGACGGGGGCCCG